RNAcentral lists this ribosomal RNA (253 nucleotides) under uncultured bacterium. RNAcentral describes it as "partial 16S ribosomal RNA". It matches the Rfam family "Bacterial small subunit ribosomal RNA", at positions 524 to 776 of the family's 1533-position model. The record is from RNAcentral.
UACGUAGGGGGCCAGCGUUGCUCGGAAUUACUGGGCGUAAAGGGUCCGUAGGCGGUGUAGCAAGUCGAUAGUGAAAUCUCUGGGCUUAACCCAGAGGCUGCUAACGAAACUGCUGUGCUAGAGUACUGGAGAGGAGACUGGAAUUUACGGUGUAGCAGUGAAAUGCGUAGAUAUCGUAAGGAAGACCAGUGGCGAAGGCGAGUCUCUGGACAGUUACUGACACUGAGGCACGAAGGCCAGGGGAGCAAACGGG